CUAUAAGCUCUCUGAAGGGCCGUUGGAGACUACAACGUUGAUAGGCAAGGUGUGGAAGCAUAGUGAUAUGUUAAGCUAACUUGUACUAAUUACCCGUGAGGCUUAACCAUACAACGCCAAACGCGUUU
RNAcentral lists this ribosomal RNA (128 nucleotides) under Pseudoalteromonas porphyrae. RNAcentral's name for it is "partial 23S ribosomal RNA". The stretch from base 1 to 110 matches the Rfam family "Bacterial large subunit ribosomal RNA", at positions 2813 to 2925 of the family's 2925-position model. Lineage: Bacteria; Pseudomonadati; Pseudomonadota; Gammaproteobacteria; Alteromonadales; Pseudoalteromonadaceae. The record is from RNAcentral.